Molecule: long non-coding RNA, 2381 nt
Organism: Tympanuchus pallidicinctus (lesser prairie-chicken)
Lineage: Eukaryota; Metazoa; Chordata; Aves; Galliformes; Phasianidae
Exons: 3
Source: RefSeq, a predicted model, not a curated record
ACUGCGUCUGGAGGGAGAGAAAGCGGUUGUAGCUUAGCUCUGGAGACCCUUGAUGAGAGACAGGAAGGAAACGUCUCCCGUGCCGGUGCUCACUACACAUUGCCCACAUUGGCUCUCCUGCGCACACCUCAGCCUUGGAUUCAAAUCAUCCAGGUGGACGGCGUCUGAUCUGCCUGCAGCAGAGCUCAGAGGCUCCCAUGCACUGCCCGAAACAUCGCCCUGAGCUGCAGCAGGGCUUGUGGAAAGAAACGCCACAGCCUUGUGGGGAGGCUUCAGUGAUGAAGGAUCUGACCCAGCCCUGUACAGUCCUUUGCUUCUGAAAAGAUCUGCCCAGAGCCAGGGUGGAACUCGUGGUUUCAAGUUCUGCUUUGCUUUGUCUGGGAGCAGAAAAGGCAGCUACCAUCAGUUCUUACAGAUCAAAUCGCACCUUACACUUGUUUUGUUAAAUUAAAGGGACGUUUCCAAUUUGCUGUAAGGCACAGAAUACUCCCACAGCCCACAUAAUUCCUGCAAUUCUGGUAUCUGGAGUUUGUCAGCAUCCUUGCAAGGUGUGCUGUCCUUCCAAGCAGGAGUGGAAGGCCUUUAUGGAAGCAGGUGGUGCCAACAGGAGAGGACCUUGCAAGGCUUUUCACAACUGCCAGUCAACAAUUAGCACUUUCUCCACAUAUCAGAUAUCAGCCAUCAGCUCUGCUGCAGCCCUUACAGCCCACUGGAGUCCAGUGAUGACAGACUGCUGGCUUUCUCCUCAUCUGAUUUCAGAACACUGGCACCUGUGGCCAGGUUUGGGAACUGUAGGCAAGCAAAUCUAGCUCCAAAUUUUUCCUGGGCAUAACCCUGCACAGCCCAGUUUUCUUCAGCUGUGCACCUUGAAAUAAUCCAGGAUAUGACAGUGGCAAAGCCAAGGGCUUAGACUACAGCAAGCUCUUGCAGAGCAAACAUGAUUGUCAAGGGGAAGCCCCACACCAAGGACUGAGCUCUGAUGUGUUUCCAGCACGUGCGCUGUCAGAUGUGCAGGGGGCUCUUCACCUUCCAUGGGUGGGGGCUGUGUAACACAGAGGCUGGGGGGUUUAGGAAGAGGCACUGCUUGCAGUGCAGAAUUCACCGAGAUGUUUUUAGGUAUUUCUACACUUCCACUCAGACCCUGUUUGCUGCUUGUGCUUCUUUGCCAUGCUCCCAGCACUUCUGUGCUCGUAGCUCAGAGAACUCCUGCUCGGGAAUUAAUCUUACUUAGACAGGAGAACCUUAUGGCCCUGAAGAAGCAGACCACGCCGUGCUGCGCGUGGGGACAGCGAAAGGCAGUGUUAUCAGACUGUCUUUUGGAAUGAGAAUGAGGGACCUUCUGAGGGGUGGUGCCCAGGGGCUCUGUGUGAGUGCCUGGCGCGCCCCCAGCCCUUGUAGGAGAAAAAGACCCGCGGACCCGGGCAGCACGUUGGACCUCGUUUAAAUGAGCCGCGUUCUGCCACAAGCGGCGGCGCCCUGUGGUGGCCUCGUAGAAGCAUCGGGGCGAGCUUCAGUUACCUGCAUCUCAGAGAAUAUCCUGAGGCUGCAUGGAGUCAUACUGCACGUGUUCUGUCUUAGGAAAGAAGCACCCGACUUACAGCAAAGUUGAAACUACAGAACUGGGCGAGAGAUACAAAACUGCAAACUGCUCUGAGCCCUACAGGGAAUUCAGACCUCAGGGUGGAGUAGGAUGAAAAUCCCUAUGAUGGCACAGCAGCAAAGGGCAGCACUGCUUCCAGGUGCCUCCUGGCACAAGCUGUCAGCCCCACAGGACUUCACGGAGGGGCCUCAUCUCCUUAGGAGAUACCCGUGGCCCAGUACUGCUCCUAGAGCCACAGACUGCCUUUAUACACCAUGGAUGAGCACAGAUGAAAACAAGUUGUUGCCUGCCACAGAAGAGCUGUCUUGGUCACUGGUUCCAUAAGAGUCAUAAUAGCAAAACUGCAAAGACUUCAGUCUGAGGACAUUUUACUGCAGUCAAGUACUGUAGUGAAUAAUCAUAAAGAAAGCACGCCAAGAAGUGAGGGAGGAGUGCUUUUAAGAGAGCCUCUCACUGCUGUGAGAAAUGCCCAUGAAUUAGUCUGUGCCUGCCAGAAGGGGGAGAACAGUGGAGGACGUUUCAACACGUGCCUCCGGAUUCCAAAAGCCAGUGGAAUACUGCAUUUGCCCUCAAAGUUCCUGCUACAGGAGUUGCUUUGCCACGGCAACAAAGCACAGCAGACUGCCCGUAUCCAGCUCUCCACAACCUCCUUGCUUCCCUUAAACAACACACUCACUCCCAGCAAAGGGUCACAAGGAAGCGGUGUGUGAACGUACCUGGUACACUCCUCUCGUGCUCUGGACGAUGCAGUCUCCUUGAAGAGGGAGCUGCUCUGCUUGAA